This 911-nucleotide ribosomal RNA is filed under the name uncultured archaeon. RNAcentral's name for it is "bacterial SSU rRNA". It matches the Rfam family "Archaeal small subunit ribosomal RNA", at positions 1 to 922 of the family's 1478-position model. The record is from RNAcentral.
AACUGGUUGAUCCUGCCGGACCCGACUGCUAUCAGAGUGGGACUAAGCCAUGCGAGUCAACAUAGCAAUAUGUGGCAUACGGCUCAGUAACACGUAGUCAACAUGCCCAGGGGACGUGGAUAACCUCGGGAAACUGAGGAUAAACCGCGAUAAGUCACUACUUCUGGAAUGGGUAAUGACUCAAAUCUACAUGGCCCCUGGAUUGGACUGCGGCCGAUCAGGCUGUUGGUGAGGUAAUGGCCCACCAAACCUGUAACCGGUACGGGCUCUGAGAGGAGGAGCCCGGAGAUGGGCACUGAGACAAGGGCCCAGGCCCUAUGGGGCGCAGCAGGCGCGAAACCUCUGCAAUAGGCGAAAGCCUGACAGGGUUACUCUGAGUGAUUUCCGUUAAGGAGAUCUUUUGGCACCUCUAAAAAUGGUGCAGAAUAAGGGGUGGGCAAGUCUGGUGUCAGCCGCCGCGGUAAUACCAGCACCCCGAGUGGUCGGGACGUUUAUUGGGCCUAAAGCAUCCGUAGCCGGUUCUACAAGUCUUCCGUUAAAUCCACCUGCUUAACAGAUGGGCUGCGGAAGAUACUAUAGAGCUAGGAGGCGGGAGAGGCAAGCGGUACUCGAUGGGUAGGGGUAAAAUCCGUUGAUCCAUUGAAGACCACCAGUGGCGAAGGCGGCUUGCCAGAACGCGCUCGACGGUGAGGGAUGAAAGCUGGGGGAGCAAACCGGAUUAGAUACCCGGGUAGUCCCAGCUGUAAACGAUGCAGACUCGGUGAUGAGUUGGCUUCUUGCCAACUCAGUGCCGCAGGGAAGCCGUUAAGUUUGCCGCCUGGGGAGUACGGUCGCAAGACUGAAACUUAAAGGAAUUGGCGGGGGAGCACCACAAGGGGUGAAGCCUGCGGUUCAAUUGGAUUCACGCCGGA